GAUCCGGGCUCAGAACGAACGCUGGCGGCAUGCCUAAUACAUGCAAGUCGAACGAUCACUUCGGUGAUAGUGGCGCACGGGUGCGUAACGCGUGGGAAUCUGCCCUUGGGUUCGGAAUAACGUCGGGAAACUGACGCUAAUACCGGAUGAUGACGAAAGUCCAAAGAUUUAUCGCCCARGGAUGAGCCCGCGUAGGAUUAGCUAGUUGGUGGGGUAAAGGCCUACCAAGGCGACGAUCCUUAGCUGGUCUGAGAGGAUGAUCAGCCACACUGGGACUGAGACACGGCCCAGACUCCUACGGGAGGCAGCAGUAGGGAAUAUUGGACAAUGGGGGCAACCCUGAUCCAGCAAUGCCGCGUGAGUGAUGAAGGCCUUAGGGUUGUAAAGCUCUUUUACCAGAGAUGAUAAUGACAGUAUCUGGGGAAUAAGCCCCGGCUAACUCCGUGCCAGCAGCCGCGGUAAUACGGAGGGGGCUAGCGUUGUUCGGAAUUACUGGGCGUAAAGCGCACGUAGGCGGCGAUUUAAGUCAGAGGUGAAAGCCCGGGGCUCAMCCCCCGGAACUGCCUUUGAGACUGGAUUGCUAGAAUCUUGGAGAGGCGGGUGGAAUCCCCAGUGUAGAGGUG
This 623-nucleotide ribosomal RNA is filed under the name Sphingomonas sp. C9. Its description in RNAcentral is "bacterial SSU rRNA". It matches the Rfam family "Bacterial small subunit ribosomal RNA", at positions 15 to 683 of the family's 1533-position model. Lineage: Bacteria; Pseudomonadati; Pseudomonadota; Alphaproteobacteria; Sphingomonadales; Sphingomonadaceae. The record is from RNAcentral.